Molecule: small nuclear RNA, 23 nt
Filed under: Arabidopsis thaliana (thale cress)
Lineage: Eukaryota; Viridiplantae; Streptophyta; Magnoliopsida; Brassicales; Brassicaceae
Description: snRNA_08494
Source: RNAcentral
AAGGUAGAAUUCAAGUUAGACGA